Chrysemys picta bellii (western painted turtle) is the source of this 2010-nucleotide long non-coding RNA. NCBI's taxonomy places the organism in Eukaryota, Metazoa, Chordata, Testudines, Emydidae. The record is from Ensembl.
CCCAGUGGGAGGGGGGCAAAGAUGGCUUUAAGUCACCCGGGCAUCUUUCCAGUUCUGAGUUGUCACAUGCACUAGGCAGAGGAGUGGCUGCUCUAAUUUCCCACAGUUUGUCCCCAGGGGCUGCCCAUGUGCUACUCUGCAUCCCCCAGAAGCAGAGAGUUUCUAUGGCCCUAAGUGACAGAGAGACAUAUGCCCCCAGCCCGGCAUUCAUACUCCAGGCCAAUGUUUUCAGUGGUGGGAGGCAGCAAAGAGCCACUUGUUGCAGCCUGAUGCAGGUCUUAUGCUGGGGCAAUUCUGCCCUGGUGACUGCAGGGCUUUCCUGGCCCCUCUAGCCCACCGGAGCAGCCUGCAGGGGCCUCGGCAGAGAGGAGAAUCCCUCCCCUGUGUCUCUUGAAGCCUAAACCUUGUUUUUAGGAACAAGAAUGUUUAGUAGCACUGAGAAAACGACCUUUCGUCCUGGGGAAUCUGAUUUACUGAGUCUGUUUUUAUCAACAGCUAAUUCUUCCCCACCCCCAACAGAAAGGUCAUUAUCAGCGACAGAUAAUUCUUCCCCUAAUUCAACAGAAAGGUCAUCAACGACAGUGCAACCAGCUUCUUCUUCCACGUCAAAAUCUACUUCCAUCUCCUCCACUGCUGAGAAAGGGAAAUCCAGCUUCUCCAGUGACCAGGACAUCACUGCCUUCAUGGACCCAGACCCAGACAUCCUCCUCCGCAUCCUGCUACCAUGCGUCCUGCUGCUUCUCAUUUUGUUUCUGCUCGCUGCUGUGAUGUUGGUGAGACUGUCCAAGAAGAGGAAGAAAGAGCUUUCAGGAGCAUCUGUGCAGAGGGACAAGAACAUCAACCUGUCAAAUUUGGGGUCAGAAGAGGUUUCUUAUGCCACUGUGACGAUUUCCACUCCUGACCAGCAGCCCAUCUAUGCCAACGUGGAGCAGCGCCCCAAGACAACACGCCCACCCAAGCCCCCUGAGGAAACCCUGUACAGCGCUGUGAAGAAGCCGCCCAAACACUAACCCUGGAUAUGAGGCGGAGUGGGGAUGGGGGGCUGCAUUGUCCUUAUCCAAGCUGCUUGAUCCCUACCUGGAAAAAUUUGAAGUAACCGGGUUUAGAACCAAAUCUGACCUGUACAAACUCCAGGACUUACGGACACACUCAGCCUGGAUCUGGAGUCUGUGGGUCUGUAUGAGGCACAGGUGGCCUGAUGGAAUUAAACAGUUGCAGUUAUCUUGUGAGGAGUGAGUUCAAAGACCAAUGGCUGGGCGUACAGACAGUGAAACUCCCCAGGAUCUGUUCAGCAGGACAAGAGAGAUACGUGGCUCUAUGGUUACGGAGUUGUCGGAUGUUUUCAGUUUCACAGGAGUUUUAAACCUUUACUUCAUAAAAUUCUCAUUCAAGUGGCAAAAUCCAAAAUCCAGAUCAUGAACUUUGAGCAUAAUUUGACUUGUUCCUGGUCUGAUGAAAAACGUACCCAUUUCGCAAGAAAUCUAAGACACUCUGGGCUCUGUCCUUUGGCCACAUUGUUGCUUCUCAAAUGCUAAUUGCCCAAAGAUCAGUUACACAGAGGGGGUAUUUGCCUACAUAGUAUUUUGUAACUUUCUAGUCAUAACUCCGUUGACAGCAGAACCAUGCCCAUUGGUGAUAGGUUGUGUCUACACUGAAGAGCUACAGGGACACAGCUACACCGGUGCCGUUGCAGCCUUUCAAGUGUAGACAAGCCCCCAGUCACUAUCUCCAACCACAAAACCUUAACAAGCACCUGGCUGUGUUAAGGCAAAAGGAACUUGCCAAGUGCCUGGGCCACUUGACAGUCAGAGAUGCUGAGCUCUUGAUAGAAACACAUAUGUGGUCACUGUUAAGGUUUUGCUUUAGGGUGCAAGUUUGCUGACGUUGGGUACAUGUUGCGUUUGGUUGUUAGAAACGGAAGUGAAAGCCGUAAGGGCUGAAGUGCGGAACUCCCAGCCCUACAGGCAAUACGGGCGUGGAAAGGAAUCCCAAAGUCUUUCCUCUUAACCU